RNAcentral lists this ribosomal RNA (207 nucleotides) under uncultured bacterium. RNAcentral describes it as "partial 16S ribosomal RNA". It matches the Rfam family "Bacterial small subunit ribosomal RNA", at positions 568 to 774 of the family's 1533-position model. The record is from RNAcentral.
UGCGUAGGUGGUUCGUUGUGUCUGUGGUGAAAGCCCCGGGCUUAACCUGGGAAUGGCCAUGGAAACUGGCGAGCUGGAGUGUGGCAGAGGGGGGUGGGAAUUCCGCGUGUAGCAGUGAAAUGCGUAGAGAUGCGGAGGAACACCGAUGGCGAAGGCAGCCCCCUGGGCUAACACUGACGCUGAGGCACGAAAGCUGGGGAGCAAACA